Molecule: ribosomal RNA, 430 nt
Filed under: uncultured bacterium
Lineage: Bacteria
Description: partial 16S ribosomal RNA
Rfam family: Bacterial small subunit ribosomal RNA
Source: RNAcentral
AACGAACGCUGGCGGCAGGCCUAACACAUGCAAGUCGAGCGCCCUUUCGGGGGAGCGGCGGACGGGUGAGUAACGCGUGGGAAUAUGCCCUUCUCUACGGAAUAGCCUCGGGAAACUGAGAGUAAUACCGUAUACGCCCUGUGGGGGAAAGAUUUAUCGGGGAAGGAUUAGCCCGCGUUGGAUUAGGUAGUUGGUGGGGUAAUGGCCUACCAAGCCGACGAUCCAUAGCUGGUUUGAGAGGAUGAUCAGCCACACUGGGACUGAGACACGGCCCAGACUCCUACGGGAGGCAGCAGUGGGGAAUCUUAGACAAUGGGGGCAACCCUGAUCUAGCCAUGCCGCGUGAGUGAUGAAGGCCUUAGGGUUGUAAAGCUCUUUCAGCUGGGAAGAUAAUGACGGUACCAGCAGAAGAAGCCCCGGCGAACUCCGU